ACUUAGAAGAUAGAUAUCAUGGAUCCCAUAGAGCUCUCAGUCUCUAGCCUAGUCUAUGGCUCAUAGUCUUCGCUUAUACUUAGAGUAGUUCGCCCUCUUUAGAAGUCAGGUAGUUCCUUAGUGUUCGCUCUCAACAACUAGUACGCCCUGUUCUCGAAAGCCGAAGAGCAGCUAAACUAAACUUCACUUACAUAGGCUGGGGCUGGGGGUGGAUAAGGUUCUUUCUUGCUAUCGAUCUAUUACGGCCAGCUUUCAGAGUCUAAAAAGUAUAUGGCCAAGGCCAGGGUUCUAAACCUCGAAGUCUGUUGUUGACUCCUGAUGGAUAGAGGAUGGCUCGCUUCUGCCUUCCCAACAGUCCCAUCCCUUCCCAGAAUCUUGUUUCAAUCAAUCCAACCAGGCUACGGCGCAUAUUUCCAAUAAACGCCGCUAUGCCUUCUUCCAAGACCUAUAUACCAAGCAAGGAGUGUUCAUUCCGCAAGUUUGUUCCAAAAGAAUCUCCGGAUUCGAUCUGUUCAGUUCGGGAAUGAAUUCUCUUUGUCAAGUCGCUUUCCCGUUCAUUGGGUUGUUCGGAACGGAUCGAAGAAUGAGAGAGAUUUCUAAUCUCGAUUUGAAGGGAGUGCAGUUCCAUUGUUCAAGAAAACGGGAUUGCAAGCAGCACGGGUUAAAUAAAAAUAACAUUUAUGAUAUUUUUAUUUUUAGUCUUUUUUUCAUUUUGGGGUGGGGAGUCUUUUUCCCCAUCAACUUAUUUAUCCCAAUUACAAAAAUGAAAGUUUUUCUUUUUUCUCUAUAUCUAUAGAAGGGCAAAUAUAAUAUCUUUAGUUAAAAUUAAUGAAUCGUUGAAACUAAUUGAUUCUAGUUAUUUUGAAAACUUUUUGUGUAACUUUAUAACNNNN
RNAcentral lists this long non-coding RNA (893 nucleotides) under Panax ginseng (ginseng). Its description in RNAcentral is "long non-coding RNA (PGIN_LNC016558)". The record is from RNAcentral. Lineage: Eukaryota; Viridiplantae; Streptophyta; Magnoliopsida; Apiales; Araliaceae.